Molecule: long non-coding RNA, 217 nt
Filed under: Homo sapiens (human)
Lineage: Eukaryota; Metazoa; Chordata; Mammalia; Primates; Hominidae
Description: non-protein coding FTX:8
Source: RNAcentral
CGGGGGUGGGGAGAGGGAGGCACGCAUGCGCAAGGCUUGAAUGGCGUCGGGGUUGGAGGGUUGGAAGGUCGGGAAGUGAAGGACUCGCAGGCAUAUUUAACAACGCAAAGUUGCUAGGAGUUGGUACCAGCGUUUGGGAGGUAGAGGUGGCGCUCAUGCAUAUUUGAGACAACAUCUGGAUGGUUGGGGAGAACGAACUUUCAGCACGGUUUUGUCA